ACGUGGCCUAGUGGUCUCGUGUCCGGCUGCAACGCCGGAGACAGUGGGUUUAAUCCCGG
Molecule: transfer RNA, 59 nt
Filed under: Oxyrrhis marina
Lineage: Eukaryota; Dinophyceae; Oxyrrhinales; Oxyrrhinaceae
Source: RNAcentral